Molecule: ribosomal RNA, 428 nt
Filed under: uncultured prokaryote
Description: bacterial SSU rRNA
Rfam family: Bacterial small subunit ribosomal RNA
Source: RNAcentral
UGAGGAAUUUUGCGCAAUGGGAGCAAUCCUGACGCAGCAACGCCGCGUGGGUGAUGAAGGCCUUCGGGUCGUAAAGCCCUGUCAGGUGGGAAGAAUGUCCCGGGACUGAACAGGUUUUGGGAGUGACGGUACCACCAGAGGAAGCACCGGCUAACUCCGUGCCAGCCGCCGCGGUAAUACGGAGGGUGCAAGCGUUAUUCGGAAUUACUGGGCGUAAAGCGCGUGUAGGCGGUCCUGUAAGGUGGAUGUGAAAGCCGCGGGCUUAACCCGGGAAGGGCAUGGGAAACUGUGGGACUUGAGUACUGGAGAGGCUGGGGGAAUUCCCGGUGUAGAGGUGAAAUUCGUAGAGAUCGGGAGGAAUAUCAGUGGCGAAGGCGCCCAUCUGGACGGUAACUGACGCUGAGACGCGAAAGCGUGGGGAGCAAACA